This 708-nucleotide ribosomal RNA is filed under the name uncultured bacterium. RNAcentral's name for it is "bacterial SSU rRNA". It matches the Rfam family "Bacterial small subunit ribosomal RNA", at positions 690 to 1398 of the family's 1533-position model. The record is from RNAcentral.
GUAGAUAUUGGGAAGAACACCAGUGGCGAAGGCGCUCUACUGGGCCGUAACUGACGCUGAGGGACGAAAGCUAGGGGAGCGAAAGGGAUUAGAUACCCCUGUAGUCCUAGCUGUAAACGAUGGAUACUAGGUGUUGGAUGUAUCGACCCAUUCAGUACCGUAGCCAACGCGAUAAGUAUCCCGCCUGGGGAGUACGCACGCAAGUGUGAAACUCAAAGGAAUUGACGGGGGCCCGCACAAGCGGUGGAGUAUGUGGUUUAAUUCGAUGCAACGCGAAGAACCUUACCAGGGCUUGACAUCCCGCGAACCUUGAUGAAAGUUGAGGGUGCCUUCGGGAGCGCGGAGACAGGUGGUGCAUGGCUGUCGUCAGCUCGUGUCGUGAGAUGUUGGGUUAAGUCCCGCAACGAGCGCAACCCACGUCCUUAGUUGCCAUCAUUGAGUUGGGCACUCUGGGGAGACUGCCGGGGACAACUCGGAGGAAGGUGUGGAUGACGUCAAGUCAUCAUGCCCCUUACGUUCUGGGCUACACACGUACUACAAUGCUUCGGACAAAGGGCAGCGAACCUGCGAGGGUGAGCUAAUCUCAUAAACCGAGGCACAGUUCAGAUUGCAGGCUGCAACUCGCCUGCAUGAAGGAGGAAUCGCUAGUAAUCGCCGGUCAGCAUACGGCGGUGAAUACGUUCCCGGGCCUUGCACACACCGCCCGUC